UUCAGGGGAGGCCGGCAUGAGGGGUUUUGUGAGCAAGGGUCUGGGAAGGUAAGGGUUAAGUGGAUGAGUGCAGGGAAAGGGGGGAGGAGCUAGGAGGGGGCGGGAAGCGGCAGGCUGUAGUAGUGGUGAGGCAGGUCAGCGCCCGCCAUUUUAGGAGCAGAGAGGCAGCAUCUUCUGAACGGCAGCAUCAGAGACAGCAAUGGCAGAAGCUGUGGAGGUGAUGCUGCGGCGAUUGAGGGAAGCAGCGGACACCAGGGGCAGCGACUGGCUGGAGGAGCAGGUGACUGCAUUGCUAAGGGGGGCGGAGGUGGGUACGUCUGGCCCUACUCCAUUAGCUACACGGUCGCGGCGGGCACGGCCGCCGGCGCGCCUGAGCCCUGAUUUACCCCCCCGGGUCCGGCGCCGUGUCAGGAGCCCCACAAGGGACCCUCCACGCCGGGAGCAUUCUAAGGCUACUGCGGCCUCCCGGCGUGGGAGGAAUCCACAUGUCCGGCGGGACCCUCCAGAGGCUGUGGGGCCUUCCCCUCAGCCCACCACUUCAGCUACAAGGGAGUCAGGACCUGGUUCUGCAGGAUCCCCUCCUGUCCCCAGGAGUGGGAGGCCUGCUCAGCGUGGGAGAGGUAGUGGCAGCAGAGGCAGCAGCGGGGCUGCGCGGUCGGCCAGGGCGGCCCGGCGCAGGCUCUUACAGGAUGGGCCCCUUUCAGUGGCACACGAGGCUGCGCCUGUAGGUGCCGGGGACGGGCGCAGGCCUCGCCAUGAUGCGCUUCUUUCAGAGGAGGAGGACGAGGCUGUUCUGGACGGCUCCCCGCCCCAGAGCAGGCCUCUUGGGCAUGAAGACAGGCGCGCAGAUGCUUAUAUGGAGGAAAGGGAGUUGCGCAGGCCAUUUCCUGAGGGCGGACAGUUUGCUACUGGUCCUGACACCGUUGAAGACAGAGGGCGUCCCAGAGCCAUUCCUAACGCACCCAGCAGGGAUCCGGCUGGGGUGCUGCCGGCGAACAGCGCAAGUACCCACCAGAGGAACGUCGCGGAUCCAGGAGUCGUACGUCAGGAAUCAGGACCUGCGGCUGCCGGGUUCACAGCACCCGGGCAGCUAGGUGAGCCAUCACUGGGAACACUGUUAUCUCUAUUUAAUGUGGCGCCUGGGGCGGGUGGGAGCAAUAGUGCGAUUAUCGGUGGUUUGGGGCGCUUGCUGUGUGGUUUAGCUGGAGUUAGUCAGGAUAGGGGGGCAAUGGGGGCUACCCCCUUAGCAGCGUGGGGGUUGGGGGCAGAAAAUAGCAAUGUACCGGCGACCCCUAACAAUAGUAAUGUAGCAGUGGCCAAUAGCACGGGUGUAGCCGAAUCAGUGUCAGUGCAGACGCAGGCGGGAGGUGAGGAGGAUAGGCCCAGAUUAGAUGACGCCGCGAAAGGGGAGGUGUAUGUCUGCUUUGAGGGUCCCCUGGGAGCGCAUUUGAAAACGGAGGUGCGUGAGAAAAUUUGGAAGGGGGAGUACAUAGAAAUUUUUUCGCUGCUUCCGUUGGAGCGGUUCAACCUGGAUGUGGUAAAAAAGGACGGAGUAAGAAAGGAGGAUGAUGAUAAGCGUCGCUAUCGCCUUAUCCCUAGGUCUUUUAGUAAUUGGCUGCAGGCCUUUGCUAUUUUAGCAAGUGUGAUUGGGGAGAAGAGUCCGGAAUGCUGUUCCCCUUUAUUUUGCUAUCUGGAUGCUAUUGGGGAGGCCUAUAGAGUGUAUGGGGGUUCCGGGUGGUUACGGUAUGACGAGCAGUUUCGUCAGAGGAAAGCGGUCCGUCCUAAUAUGAGAUGGGACCAUAAGGACAUUGCUUUAUGGAUGAGGGUGACAGCGCCAGGUAGGAGUGGUCAGUCCUUUCGGAGUGAGUCAGGGGUUGGGGUACAGCAAGGUACAGGGCCGCCCCCAGUUGGAAGAGGAUACUGCUUCCUUUUCAAUGAGGGAAGUUGCAAAUUCGGCCAAAAAUGCAAAUUUAGGCACGAAUGUUCCGUGUGUGGCGGGGGCCAUGGGGCUAGCAGAUGUUUUAGAGGGGGUAGGCAAAGGGGAGGGGAUAGUUUUGCAAAAGGGGCAGACCCCAGUGCGAGUGGAAAGGAUGGUGGGGCAUCUAAAUAGAUAUCCGAACCAGGAGUUAGCUGGAUUUUUGUAUUCGGGGUUUAAGUUCGGUUUUCAUAUACCUUCGCACCCGUUACCGGUUUUAGAGAAGCGGAAGAAUUUGCGCUCGGCAUUGCAGUUCCCGGACAUAGUGACAGGAAAGUUAGCUAAAGAGGUUUCCCUAGGGAGGAUGGAUGGGCCGUUUGUUACAUCACCCAUCAGUAACUUGCGAGUUUCCCCUUUGGGUUUGAUCCCUAAGAAGGAGCCUAAUAAAUUUAGGCUCAUCCACCAUUUAUCAUUCCCUAAGGGUGCGUCGGUCAAUGAGGGCAUUGACCCGGAACUUUGUUCUGUGGUUUAUGCUUCCUUUGAUGCGGCUGUGGAAUGGGUAAGGAAGCUGGGUCCGGGUACCCUGUUGGCAAAAUGUGACAUUGAAGCGGCAUUUCGGUUGUUGCCAGUUCACCCGGAUAGUUUGUAUUUACUGGGUUGUUUUUGGAAUGGCGCUUAUUUUGUGGAUAGGUGUUUGCCAAUGGGCUGUUCAAUAUCGUGUGCAUAUUUUGAGCGUUUCAGUUCUUUUCUGGAGUGGGUGGUGGUUCAGGAAUCAGGUUGUCACUCUGUCAUUCAUUAUUUGGAUGAUUUCCUGUGUUUGGGGCCGGGGGGAUCUAGGGUUUGUUCGUUGUUGUUAUCCACAUUACAGUCUGUUUUUGAGGGUUUCGGAGUCCCGUUAGCAGUAGGCAAAACGGUGGGGCCGGCUACUGAGCUAAGUUUUUUGGGUAUCGUCAUCGAUACACAGCGGAUGGAGUGUAGGCUACCAGUAGACAAAGUGUCAGAGUUAAGAACAGGGGUGGCGGCGGCAUUGAGAGCAAAGAAGAUUCGUCUGCGGGACCUGCAGUCUUUGUUGGGCAAAUUGAACUUUGCAUGCAGAAUCCUACCAAUGGGCCGCAUUUUUAGUAGGAGGUUGGCUUCGGCGACAGGAGGGGUGGUGUCUCCUCACCAUUUUAUUAGACUAGGCAGUGAGUUGAAAGGGGAUUUGAAAGUUUGGGAUUCCUUUUUAAAACAGUUUAAUGGCAGAGCAUUAGUUAUGGGGGGGGUGGUUGAUGCGUUUGAUUUCGAAUUGUUUACGGAUGCUGCGGGUGGAGCGGGUUUUGGGGCGUACUGUGAAGGGCAGUGGUGUGCGGGUCGGUGGCCUGAGUCCUGGGUACGAAACGGGUGGGUAAGAAACGUGGCAUUGUUGGAACUCUUCCCCAUUGUGUUGGCAGUCACGCUCUGGGGGGAGAAGUUUCGGCACAAGAAGGUUCGUUUCCAUUGUGACAACUUGGGAGUUGUGCAAGCCAUCAACAGUGUAACGGCCUCUUCCCCCCCAGUUAUUUGCCUGUUGCAGCAGUUGGUUCUCCGGUGCUUGUCCCUUAAUGCUUGGGUGUUUGCAGUGCAUGUGCCUGGUUCCUCUAACUGUAUAGCUGACGCACUUUCUCGUUUUCAGUGGGAGCGGUUUCGCCAGCUGGCCCCGGAGGCGAGUCAGGUCGGAUUGGUGUGUCCAGAGUCGUUGUGGGAGAUCCUGGAGGUGGUGCCCCGUUAUUAGUUUGGAUCCUGGGCCAUUCGUUCGUGUUCUGGGGGGCAUUACGAGCGGAUGUUCGGCAGAAUGGGCGGCAGCUGGGGUUUGAUCGGGGGACGGCCAUAGUGAGAUGGAUCGGACGCAGAGGUAUGGUGUGGGGUAGUGUUUUGCAGGAGGUUCAUCGGCAAGCCAGGUUAGAUAGAGUCCCGGAUAUCUUGGUGUUGCAUGUUGGGGGAAAUGACCUAGGGGUCCGACCUUGCAGAGAGUUGAUCAGGGAUAUUCGUUUUGAUUUUUUGCGUUUGUGGUCCCUCUUCCCGUCAGUUGUCACUGUGUGGUCGGACAUUGUCCCCAGGAAGGUCUGGAGGGAGGCGAGAUCGGUUGAAAGGCUGAAUAAGGCUAGGAUUAAGCUGAACAGGGUGAUUGGGCGGUUCUGUGCCAAACAUGGGGCGGUGGUGGUGAGGCACCCCGAGUUGGAAGCAGGAACAGGAGGUUUUUGGAGACAGGAUGGAGUCCACCUCAAUGCGGUGGGCAUUGAUUUGUGGUCACUGGACUUACAGGGAGGUGUCGAAACAGCCAUCCGGGUGUGGCGGAACGCGCGAGCUUAAGGGCUGUCAAGCUGCGCGUUGUUGGCGGGGGGAGGUCAUAGAAGCUGGGGCUACUGGAUGGUAACGGUGAAUGAGAGGGCCUCAAUGGUGGGGCUGGACUCUCAGAGUUGGGGCACCUGGUUGGUUUGGUAUGGCGUCCGUCAGUUGGUGUCCCCGAGCUUGUGGUACGCGGCUGGGGGCAAGAUGGAAUUGCCGUGGUGGUUUGUGGUCGUUUAAGGUGCAGUUAGGCGGCUUCUAGGACCUCCCUCGUCAGUUAGACAUGUAUAUAUUUAUAUAUAUAUGUCAUUGUUAUAUCAAGUGUUAUGUUUAUUCAUGUUAUUUAUAUUAUUUAAUAAAAGACGGCUGCUGUGGCCGAUUUAAUCCAAGCAGUGGCUGUGUGUGGUUAUUGGGAGAGGAAAAGGGGAAGGUUAGUUAGCUAAAUGAUGGGGUAGUGGACCCGAGCGUAGCCAAUAACCCUACUCAAGUGAGGCCGUACGAAGCGGCACGCUUCAGGGGAGGCCGGCAUGAGGGGUUUUGUGAGCAAGGGUCUGGGAAGGUAAGGGUUAAGUGGAUGAGUGCAGGGAAAGGGGGGAGGAGCUAGGAGGGGGCGGGAAGCGGCAGGCUGUAGUAGUGGUGAGGCAGGUCAGCGCCCGUCAUUUUAGGAGCAGAGAGGCAGCAUCUCCCUCCCUCCCUCCCGUAGUGUGUACUGGGAUGUUUCAGGGCGGCAACGGUAUAUUAGAGGGAUGCAUAUAGGAAAAAGUAAUAAAAUAAAA
Bufo gargarizans (Asiatic toad) is the source of this 4995-nucleotide RNA transcript. It is a transcript of the gene named translation initiation factor IF-2-like, with no coding region annotated. Lineage: Eukaryota; Metazoa; Chordata; Amphibia; Anura; Bufonidae. The transcript has 3 exons. The record is from RefSeq and is a predicted model, not a curated record.